This is an RNA transcript of Olea europaea var. sylvestris, 1934 nucleotides long. It is a transcript of the gene named coatomer subunit delta, with no coding region annotated. The transcript has 11 exons. NCBI's taxonomy places the organism in Eukaryota, Viridiplantae, Streptophyta, Magnoliopsida, Lamiales, Oleaceae. The record is from RefSeq and is a predicted model, not a curated record.
CCAACAUUCGGCUUCGUCUCUACGUCUCUGGCCCGUUUCUCUCCAUUGAUUUAAUAAGCAGGUGUGAAUCAGGAACAAUUUUACUUGCUGUGAUCGGAUUUCUAGAGGAUCAAUAUGGUUGUACUUGCUGCUUCUAUUAUCAGUAAAUCUGGCAAAGCACUCGUUUCGAGGCAAUUUGUUGAUAUGUCUCGUAUACGUAUUGAGGGAUAUCUUGCAGCUUUCCCAAAAUUGGUUGGAACAGGAAAACAGCAUACCUACAUUGAAACCGAAAAUGUGCGGUAUGUUUAUCAGCCAAUGGAGUCGCUUUACUUGCUUCUUGUGACAAAUAAACAGAGCAAUAUUCUUGAAGAUUUGGAGACAUUGAGACUGCUCUCAAAACUUGUACCUGAGUAUUCUUACUCCCUGGAUGAAGAGGGCAUUGGCAGGACAGCUUUUGAAAUUCUCUUUGCAUUUGAUGAAGUCAUCUCUCUUGGGCACAAAGAAAGUGUUACUGGUGCACAAGUCAAACAGUACUGUGAGAUGGAAAGUCAUGAAGAGAGAUUGCACAAGUUGGUCUUGCAAAGCAAAAUCAAUGAAACCAAGGAUGUUAUGAAGCGCAAAGCUAGUGAGAUUGACAAAAGCAAAAUUGAGAAGAACAGAGGUGAGAAAGGAGGGUACAUGUCUCUACAGUCCAUGGGUUCAGGAAGAAUUGACUCUGGCUUUGGUAAUGACAAUAGCAUUAGCAUAUCGAGUAGUGGUGGUUUUGGAGGUGGUUCUGGCUUUGGGUUAAGCGCUGAUGUGGAUUCCUUCUCCACCAAGUCCAAAGGUCGUCCACCAGCAUCUGCUACAGCUCCACCUAAAGGUCUUGGUAUGCAGCUAGGAAAAACACAAAGGACCAACCAAUUUUUGGAAUCUCUGAAAGCUGAAGGUGAAGUGAUUGUUGAAGAUGUUAGACCAAGCGUUGGCCAGUCGAAACCAACAGCUCCACCACCAACUGAUCCUGUUACGUUGACUGUUGAAGAAAAGCUUAAUGUAACUUUGAAACGGGAUGGUGGUAUAGGAAGCUUUGAUGUUCAGGGUACCUUGGCACUCCAAAUUCUUAAUCAGGAUGAUGGACUCAUCCAAGUUCAGAUUGAAACUGGUGAUAAUCCAGGAAUCCUUUUCAAGACACACCCCAAUAUCAACAAGGAAUUGUUUUCCAAUGAAAAUAUUGUGGGGCUCAAGGAUCAGAAUCGACCAUUUCCCACUGGGCAAGCUGGUGACGGUGUUAGUCUCUUGAGAUGGAGAAUGCAAAGUGCAGAUGAAUCACUUGUACCGUUAUCAAUUAACUGCUGGCCUUCUGUUUCUGGAAAUGAAACCUACGUGAGCAUGGAGUAUGAAGCUUCACAAAUGUUUGAUCUGCAGAAUGUUGUGAUUGCUGUACCUCUUCCAGCACUUCGAGAAGCACCAAAUGUACAGCAGAUAGAUGGGGAAUGGAGGUCAGCUAUGUAAUUCCAGUUUUACCUUAGACGGCAAAUAUAGUUUGCUUACAUGGUUUUGAUUGGAUAUUUGGAAAUUGGCAGCGGAUCUAUGGAAUUUGUUGUCCCUCCUGUAGAUACAUCAGCAUUUUUCCCAAUUUCUGUCCGAUUUACGGCUACAAGCACUUUCAGUGAUCUGAAGGUUUUGAACAUUAUACCAUUGAGAGGUGGAACUCCACCCAAGUUUUCUCAGAGAACAGUGCUGUCGACGGAGAAUUACCAAGUCGUUUGAUAAUUGUCACUACAAUAAUGAUUUCUGAAUGAGAAUAACCACCAACUCUGCACUUUUAUUCUUUUGUUUCAAAUUUUGUCGACAGUGAUGUUACUUUGUAGUUAUUAUUUACUGUAGAUUGAACCGUAAUAUUUUCUUGCGAUGAAGUGUACGUCACACAUUAUAAAAGACGAAUGGGUAUUUUUUGUCUUAUGGUUUCAGGUCAA